Molecule: ribosomal RNA, 468 nt
Filed under: uncultured bacterium
Lineage: Bacteria
Description: partial 16S ribosomal RNA
Rfam family: Bacterial small subunit ribosomal RNA
Source: RNAcentral
GACGAACGCUGGCGGCGUGCUUAACACAUGCAAGUCGAACGGAAAGGCCCUGCUUUUGUGGGGUGCUCGAGUGGCGAACGGGUGAGUAACACGUGAGUAACCUGCCCUUGACUUUGGGAUAACUUCAGGAAACUGGGGCUAAUACCGGGUAGGAGCUCCUGCUGAAUGGUGGGGGUUGGAAAGUUUCGGCGGUUGGGGAUGGACUCGCGGCUUAUCAGCUUGUUGGUGGGGUAGUGGCUUACCAAGGCUUUGACGGGUAGCCGGCCUGAGAGGGUGACCGGCCACAUUGGGACUGAGAUACGGCCCAGACUCCUACGGGAGGCAGCAGUGGGGAAUAUUGCACAAUGGGCGGAAGCCUGAUGCAGCAACGCCGCGUGCGGGAUGACGGCCUUCGGGUUGUAAACCGCUUUCGCCUGUGACGAAGCGUGAGUGACGGUAAUGGGUAAAGAAGCACCGGCUAACUACGUG